Molecule: ribosomal RNA, 268 nt
Filed under: uncultured soil bacterium
Lineage: Bacteria
Description: partial 16S ribosomal RNA
Rfam family: Bacterial small subunit ribosomal RNA
Source: RNAcentral
AGAAUCAACGCUGGCGGCGUGCCUAACACAUGCAAGUCGAGCGCGAAAGGGGAGCAAUCCCCGAGUAGAGCGGCGAACGGGUGAGUAACGCGUGGGUAAUCUACCUCCGAGUGGGGAAUAACAGCGGGAAACUGCUGCUAAUACCGCAUGACAUCGUCGAGCCUUCGGGCCUGACGAUCAAAGCCGGGGACCGCAAGGCCUGGCGCUUGGAGAGGAGCCCGCGUCCGAUUAGCUAGUUGGCGGGGUAAUGGCCCACCAAGGCUCCGAU